AGCAAUUGCAGCAGCUGUGGUACAGGACCCGGGGAUUUUCAGCUGAAGUCUAAAUGCAGUUGACAACUGUAUGAAUCUCAGAGCCAGGAUGCUUCAAGCACCAUAGAUCUAAAAAAGACAUUGAUUUGCUCUCCUCCAGCCUCUCUUAUCUCCUACUUAUGAAAAUAUCUGGUGAAUAGUACAUCAUCUGCUUGCUCCACAGCCUAAGUGCCUCAGAGAAGCCACUCAGGUGUGAGAGCCUUGUUUAGCAGCCUCUCACUGCUUCCUGCUCCCAUUUGUUUUCAAACCUGGAACAGAGGAUGGAACCUGCCCCACAACGAUGUCACCCAGGAAGAUGCCGUCCAGCACGAGCUCCACACCCUGGGAAAAGCAACUCAGCCUGAAAAAUCCUCUUGAUGAAUCCUAAAAGACAGCUGCAGUGUAAGGCUGCCUUCCAGAGCUGUCACCAGAAAAGUGUUCAAAAGAAGAGGAGUAAGAAACACAUUUGCCAAGUUCAUAAAACUGUGACCUUGAGACAAAGGUCACCAAAGCAUCGCUGGCUUUCGGAGGGUCGUGGCACGAGGGGACAACCACAGUGACCUGGAAAGGCACCUUUGAUGACAUCAGACGUUUCAAGGAGAGAUUUACUGGUAACAGGGGGUUAGAGCACUCAGAGAGUGUUUGCAAUGCUUGGAUUCUCUUUUGCUUUCCCAGAGCCUCUGAGGGCAGUGAAGCACAGGGAGUUAGAGGUGUUCUGCACCCACGUUGGUGCCUCAGUGCCCCCCAGCCCUGCAGGGACUCAGGGCUGGCUCUCCACACGUCCUGCACCCACAGAAUUUGCAGGCUGCCUGUCCCUUUUGCUCUCCUCCUCCAUCAAAUCCCUCUGCCUGCAUGCAGGAAAAUCACUCCAGGGACUUUGAUCAGAUUGUUCCUGUGAAGGAGACAGGUGAGAAGGAACCCCCCUCCCGCAAAGGCAGUCUUUUUAUCCUCUUUUUUGUGUAGGUGCUCUGGUGCCUACAGUGCUGCUGGAAGUCUAUGGGCCAACACCAACACGUGUGUAAAGUUUCAUUGUCACCAGAGCAGAGGUGUGGAUAGAGAAUAUUUUCUUCACACAUUUAACAUUCAGGUUUCUUUUAUUCCUUUUUUUUCUCCCCACUCUUCGUGCGAUGCCAGCAGCUCAGAAAGCUGCAGCCUGCAGCCUUAGGUGUGCAUUAGCUUCCAUUUGAUUGCUGUACAGCAACUCUUCUUAUCUUUGAAAAUUAACCAUUUCAUAAGCAGAGAGGAGGUGUCUCACAGCGUGAGCGUAAUGCACCAGGCAUUGCACCAAAGACUGCAGAGUGCACCACUCUUUCAGUCAAUGCUGGGGCUUUGACACCUAAAAAAAAAGUAUAUUCGAAUUCCAGCCCUGUCAGAUGUACAAAACAAUUAUGCAAAACUGUCUUUAAGAAGAUAUUAUUCUUAAGACUUUGUAUUUUAUUUUAUUUUAUUUUUGUGACAAGCAAUAUUUCACAAAAAUCCUCACCUUUUCUUGCUUAUAUAAUUCAGUGCCACUUACAGUAAAUUAUAUUUGGGUGGUUUCAUUAUCACAUCUAUGUAAAUUCUUCCAAUAAAGUAUCCUCAGACUUUAAGAUGCAAAACAAUUUUGUUAAGAUAGAGUAGAAUAUAAAACAAAGGAAAAUAAGCAAGGUGGAUUCUUUUUCUGCAUUGACUGCAUGGAUGUUAAUGAGAGUCAUCUCCAUGUACAGGUCUAGCAUCUGGUUGCUAUAUUUAUUUUAAUUGUGUGGGGGUUUUUUUGUUUUUUUUUUUUUUCAGGGAGAAAUCCAAAUCCCAUAUGUGCUUUCUUAUGACACAAACCCCUGAAAAAUCAGAAUAAAUCUAUAGAUGUAACAUCCGUGUGCUUUUUAAUUGCUCUCUUCUCACUAACUAAAUAUUGUGGGAUGUUUCAGGGUGAGAUAUG
Motacilla alba alba is the source of this 1936-nucleotide long non-coding RNA. RefSeq lists it as uncharacterized. Lineage: Eukaryota; Metazoa; Chordata; Aves; Passeriformes; Motacillidae. The transcript is spliced from 3 exons. The record is from RefSeq and is a predicted model, not a curated record.